CUGCCCUCAAGCGCGGCUUGUGUGUUGGGCGUGGUCCCCCCUGAUUUUGGGGGGACCUGCCCGAAAGGCAGCGGCGACGUCCCGCCUAGGUCCUCGAGCGUAUGGGGCUUUGUCACGCGCUCGGGAGGGGCCUGCGGGCGUUGGUCAUCCCUAUUUCUUUUUGAC
This 165-nucleotide unclassified non-coding RNA is filed under the name uncultured Talaromyces. Its description in RNAcentral is "sequence contains ITS2". Lineage: Eukaryota; Fungi; Ascomycota; Eurotiomycetes; Eurotiales; Trichocomaceae. The record is from RNAcentral.